This 224-nucleotide ribosomal RNA is filed under the name bacterium. Its description in RNAcentral is "partial 23S ribosomal RNA". It matches the Rfam family "Bacterial large subunit ribosomal RNA", at positions 1 to 220 of the family's 2925-position model. The record is from RNAcentral.
GAAAAUCUCAUUAAGGGUAUAUGGUGGAUGCCUUGACUCAAAAAGACGAUGAAGGACGUAGCAGCCUGCGAUAAGCCUCGGUAAGGUGGCAAGCAACCUUUGACCCGAGGAUGUCCGAAUGGGGAAACCUGUUCCGAUUAAUAUCGGAACGUCCGCCAGCUGAAUACAUAGGCUGGUGAGACGACUACCCGGUGAAUUGAAACAUCUUAGUAGCCGGAGGAAAA